UACAUGGGGUUAAGCUCAGGACCUCAGAGGGUGAGGCGUUUCUGAGUAGCCAACAGGGUCUUUUCACAGUCUUGUUCAGAAGAUCCGAAGUUAAAAGCUCCGUCUCCAGUUCCUUAGAUCUCUGGAGCCAGUGGACCCUGAGCCAGAACUGUGACUGUCUGACAGCCUUGAGCCACACUGAGACAAGACAGAGCUGCUCUCCAGUUCCUGGGAAGCCUGGAUUUUCUCUGCCGGCAGCCAGCGGGGACUGGCCUAUCGUGCCACAUCUGUGGGCAAAGGGCCUGGAGAAAUGCUGGCAUGUUUUAUGCGUGUGCAAACUGACUUUAUUUUAGGAAUGAAAAAAAUACUUCCUUGGGUACCUUUAGUGCUGGAUACUGAGCGUAGACUUUGUGCAUGAGAGGAGGAUGCUUUCGCACUGAGGCACAUCAUCAUCUUGCAGGGUUGAUACUGUGGAAGGGAAGGCCAGAAGCUUCCCUGAGGAGAAGCUCUUCAGCUGUGUUCCCUGGACUGAAGGCGUUUGAAGAUCUAGUUUCUGAGGGUGGAGAGAACUGAAGAACUUUAAGAACAUGUGAAUCUCAUCACAUCUGAAUAAGCACAAUCGGGAGCUGGGCCUGCCUGGAUUUCAUCUAGAAGCCAAGAAGCACCGUUCAGCUUAGCACAGGGAAAGAAAAUAAUUGCUCUGCUUCUUCUUUAUUGAGUCCAACUCAUUUAAUGAAACAAUGACUCAGUAAUAAGAAAUCGGGGCUUGAAACCUCUCUCUGGAUGGUCUGAGACAUGCAAUACGAUUUGAGUGUAGCACUGGGAGCAAGAUUUGUUCACUGAGAAGUCCUUAUACAUUGAGAACCCAGCCUUAGAGAGACGGCCUUUUAAUUAUUCCUUCUUUUAGCUUCGCCCUCUGUGCUUUGGCUAUCUAUCAUCAUGAAAAAUAGAUUCCAAAAGACCAGCUGAAUUCCUCUGCCACUUUUAGCAAAGAACUGAGCACAUGGACGUGAUAAACAUAGGAAUUAUUUGGCAAAGACUGAAGCCAAGGAGUGAGAAGGUAACAGCCACAUCAGGCUAGAGAUGGACCCCACCACAGGGAGAACCCUGUGCAUUCAUUCAGCUCUUCCAGAAGGGCAGGGGCAGGUGGGCAAAGCUCAGGGACGGGCUCUGGUACACCCUGAAAGGCUGGAGUAAGCAGAGGAGGAAGGGAGAAAGAAGAGCGGUGGGGACCUAGCCAGCUAAGUAUCUGCAAACUACAGAAGCACUCUGGUAUAGAGCUGCCAGACCUAGCCCCCAACCAAAACAAAACCAAGACCCUCGUCCUUGACUGCUUUCCUUCAGAGGAUCUGGUAGAUGAGGGGAGACAGAGCACUAUUUGUAGCAUUUGCUACUGUGGCAAGUAGAGUCACCAACCAUUAAAGGAAAAAAGUAAAACUGUGUAGAAACAUAUAUUCUCUAUAUGAAUCUGAGAGAGGGCAACCUUCAGUGAUAGCAAGAUGGAUCAAUUAUUGUCACCCAGAAACUAAAUCACAGUGAAGAAAUAUUGUGUACUUUGGUAAUAGAAAGGAUGCCAGAGAUAGCAAAUUUAUAUUACUUGCUUUAAAGAAAUAUGGCUUGGAUAUGACAAUGAAAAGCAUAUUAAAAAGUAGAGGCAUCCAGCCUUUAAUUUAAUUUCGAGUCAAGUAAUCAGGGUGAAUUUAUUCCUCUUGCAACACAUAAUUUUAACCUUUUAUUAUGCAAAACUGACAAUUCAGUUUAAAUUGCAUGGGUAUGUUUGUUCAGCAUGAUUGAUUUUAAUGAUAUUUACCAUUUACUGGAUCUCCUAAAAGGUGGAACAUCUUGAAAAUUUCUCACAAGUCACUUCAAAUCUGUUUCAGAUCCUUCCUGGCCACUGAGAGCCCACAGAGGUUUUUGAAAAACAGAGCCAAGUGCUGCAUUGGUAGCAGUGUUAGACGGGAGCUUUUCACAUCAACAAAUUCUUAACAUAGAGGAAGUUCUUGUUACUUCAGGGGCUCCCACUGCGGGCACCUCCAGCUCCCAUCGUGUAAUGCCAGCACCAGGACAUGUUAUAGGGAAAAGUACAACUGUCCUCCCCCUGCCAGCAUUUCAGUUCUGAGGUGCUGAACGAUGGAGCAGAAAGUAGCUCCUACUCCUGCUCUCCCUUCCCACCCUCAUCUCCAAUUAGCCUUCAAAAUUCUGAAGAGUGAUGCUGCACAUAUUGUAAGAUAGCAGGUAACAGCGCACAUGUGAACAUCACCGCUCACAGGACACCACAGGAGUCCAGAGAGAACUGAAAUACAUGAUGAGGAUACAGAGAUAAACCAGGAGCUCAGAUGGAGGAAGUCAUUUGCUUACCAUCAGCUGGACAGGCCAGACAGGUGUCCCAGAAACCUGAACCUCAAAAAUUAAAUCUUCAUUGAGUAAAUCAUGUGGUUUUUAUGAUCAGGCUACAAAAGGUAAUAGUUUACUGUGCACAGGGACUUUUCUUUGUUUUCUCAGCCUUCUGUCCCACUGUGGCUCUCUCUGAUUGUCUCACAGGACUUCCACAUACAUUGUAGGCCUGAUACCCGCAGGUGUCCAGGGGUUCCCUGGGCCAGCAGCGUCCAGCAUCGUGAAUACCAGAUCCAUUUCUAGCCAGACAGUAAUUCUGAAUGCGUGCAGUAGAUUCACACAUAUUAUUCCAUAGAUCUUAACAUCCACAGUCCAGGUUUGGUUUCGUUUUUAAUUGGAUUUUCUUAAAUCAAAGUACAUAUUAAUUUGUGUUGCCAUCAAUAUCUUAAAGUUCAAGUUCCUGCUUAAAAAAAAAACUGUGAUUGUACCAGAGAUUUUUCUCACUAGCUCUGCACAGUCUCCAAAGCCACCAUUUAAAUAGAUGUCUCUACUGAUUUCCCUUUUCCUGGCACACUUACAUCGGGACUCCUAACACAUCCUCACACUCUUUCCUUUUCUCAGACCCCAGACAUUCUGCAGAACAGAAGUCUUCAAGGUUAGAAGAAUCUGUCUUUCCAGAGAUAUCAUGUGCAAAUACCAGCAAGAAGGUCUUUCUGGGUUCUCCAUAGAUGCAGGCAUACGAUGAAGAUAUACAUAUGCGUAUUGUCAUGGUUUAUGUCGGUGUCCCCCAGGCCUCAUGCAUUUGCAUUAUGUAUUUGUCAUUGGUUCAUUGUCUAGCGCUUAGAUUGACGGUGUCAGUGCUACACUCACAUAAGGAUAGAGCCAGAAUACAAUGCAGUGGCAGGAAUAAGGUAUAUCUUUCGCUUUCUUGCUAGUUUCUGCCUUGCUGUUUGCAGCCACCAUGAACUGUAGUCCUACCAUGCCUCCCUGCCUUGAGCCAACUGAGUAUGGACUAAAACCUCCAAAAACUGCAAGAAAUAAACCUUUCCUUUCCCAACUUUGGACAUCAGGUAUUUUGUCUCAGCGACCAGAAAAAAUAACUAAGA
Molecule: long non-coding RNA, 3419 nt
Organism: Cavia porcellus (domestic guinea pig)
Lineage: Eukaryota; Metazoa; Chordata; Mammalia; Rodentia; Caviidae
Exons: 4
Source: RefSeq, a predicted model, not a curated record